RNAcentral lists this ribosomal RNA (285 nucleotides) under uncultured bacterium. RNAcentral's name for it is "partial 16S ribosomal RNA". It matches the Rfam family "Bacterial small subunit ribosomal RNA", at positions 28 to 313 of the family's 1533-position model. The record is from RNAcentral.
GACGAACGCUGGCGGCGUGCUUAACACAUGCAAGUCGAGCGGUAAGGCCCUUUACGGGGGUACACGAGCGGCGAACGGGUGAGUAACACGUGGGUGACCUGCCCUCAGCUCUGGGAUAAGCCUGGGAAACCGGGUCUAAUACUGGAUAUGACUCCAUGACGCAUGUUGUGGGGUGGAAAGCCUUGUGCGGCUGAGGAUGGGCCCGCGGCCUAUCAGCUUGUUGGGUGGGGUGAGGCCUACCAAGGCGACGACGGGUAGCCGGCCUGAGAGGGCGACCGGCCACAC